CACGUAGGGGGCAAGCGUUGUCCGGAUUUAUUGGGCGUAAAGAGCUCGUAGGUGGCUGAGUAAGUCGGGUGUCAAAGCCCCAGGCUCAACCUGGGAUCCCACCCGAUACUGCUCUGGCUAGAGUCCGGUAGGGGAGCGUGGAAUUCCUGGUGUAGCGGUGAAAUGCGCAGAUAUCAGGAGGAACACCAGCGGCGAAGGCGGCGCUCUGGGCCGGUACUGACACUGAGGAGCGAAAGCGUGGGUAGCAAACAGG
Molecule: ribosomal RNA, 253 nt
Filed under: uncultured bacterium
Lineage: Bacteria
Description: partial 16S ribosomal RNA
Rfam family: Bacterial small subunit ribosomal RNA
Source: RNAcentral